RNAcentral lists this ribosomal RNA (253 nucleotides) under uncultured bacterium. Its description in RNAcentral is "partial 16S ribosomal RNA". It matches the Rfam family "Bacterial small subunit ribosomal RNA", at positions 524 to 776 of the family's 1533-position model. The record is from RNAcentral.
UACGAAGGGUGCAAACGUUGCUCGGAAUUAUUGGGCGUAAAGCGCGCGUAGGCGGCUUUGCAAGUCAGGGGUGAAAUCCCACAGCUUAACUGUGGAACUGCCUUUGAAACUGCAAGGCUAGAAUGUGAGAAGGGAUGGCGGAAUUCCUAAUGUAGAGGUGAAAUUCGUAGAUAUUAGGAGGAACAUCGGUGGCGAAGGCGGCCUUCUGGACAGCGACUGACGCUGAGACGCGAAAGCGUGGGGAGCAAACAGG